GUCUCUACAUGGAGCUGAUUUUAAGGACCAUCUUGGCAGUGCUGCUUCUGCGUGGUGCAUUCCUUUUCCACAAAGCAUGCUCCUGUCUCCCCUGCUAUAUGUGAUGGCACCUUUCAGAAUAUUCAUCGAGACUAGCAUAUCUGAAACACAUCAUGAAAACAACAUUUAGCGAGAAGAAAUGAUAGAAAACUUAAAAUCCCAUUGGAUCCAGGAGCUCACUAGGAUCAAGAAUAUUACCACUUUAUGUCUAGUUUAUGGGUGUAUACCCAAUGCAUUUUCUCAGAUCAUCCCAGAAUGGAAAGAAAUCUAUCUUAAAGAAGAAUUUGAUAUCCUUGUUCAGUCUGAAGACACAAUUAUACAACAUAUCAAUUCUACUUCAGGAUGUAAUAAA
Long non-coding RNA from Orcinus orca (killer whale), 391 nucleotides. RefSeq lists it as uncharacterized. The record is from RefSeq and is a predicted model, not a curated record. Lineage: Eukaryota; Metazoa; Chordata; Mammalia; Artiodactyla; Delphinidae. The transcript is spliced from 3 exons.